UACGUAGGGGGCAAGCGUUGUCCGGAAUCAUUGGGCGUAAAGAGCGCGUAGGCGGCCCAGUAAGUCCGCUCUGAAAGUCAGGGGCUCAACCCCUGAAUGCGGGUGGAUACUGCUGGGCUAGAGUCCGGAAGAGGCGAGUGGAAUUCCUGGUGUAGCGGUGAAAUGCGCAGAUAUCAGGAGGAACACCGAUGGCGAAGGCACUCUACUGGGCUAUUACUGACACUCAGAGACGAAAGCUAGGGGAGCAAAUGGG
Molecule: ribosomal RNA, 253 nt
Filed under: uncultured bacterium
Lineage: Bacteria
Description: partial 16S ribosomal RNA
Rfam family: Bacterial small subunit ribosomal RNA
Source: RNAcentral